RNAcentral lists this unclassified non-coding RNA (2916 nucleotides) under Hevea brasiliensis (rubber tree). Lineage: Eukaryota; Viridiplantae; Streptophyta; Magnoliopsida; Malpighiales; Euphorbiaceae. The record is from RNAcentral.
UUUUUUCUUUUUUUUUUUUUUAAAGCAAUGAUUUAUUAAUAAAUAAAAAUAAGACAAUAAAAAGCAGUAAGUUGCAGCCCAAAUACGAACGCCUUACCCCUUGCAUCCAUACCUAAAGGGCACAAACAGCAAAGCGCGAGCUAAAAAGUACAAUACCAAGGCAUGGGGUUGUGUCAGAACAUCGAGCGAUGUGUUGAUUCAGCGUGUGUCACAACCAAAAUAUGUAUUUCACCAUUCUUUAUUUUAAUUAUCAAUUAAGCAUAAUUCAUUGCUUAUUAUUAACUCAAAUCCCAAGGUUAUAGACUUCUAAUAUAAUCUCAGCAGGAUUUCCGCUAUGAACUGGACUUAAAACUACAUGUUAAUAAUAUGCAAUCGUAUCGAUAACCCAUUAGUAAGCUUUCAGUCAACAAUUUCUCAAUUUCUUUUUUAAUCAACUGAAGUUUAACUAAUAACCAUUAUAUAAAAAGAUCAAUUCUUUAUAGCAUACUAAGCAUAUAAAUAUCUAUCAGCAUAAUUAACAUCCUCCAAUCCGAGAAAAUUUUAUUCAUAACAUACAUAAAUUCAAGUAUCCAUGUAAUCUCAAAUCCAUUAAUGAUUCUAAAUGAAGCAUGUCCAUGUCCAUGACCAUGUACAUGACCCAAUUCUAGUGCAGCUAAGUCGGCUACUCUGUCUAUUGGGCCUACCUUUUUCCCUUUCAAUUAAUGAUAAUUUAUCAUUUAGUGCCCCUUGUGUGUGUAUAUAUAUAUAUUAAACAUGUGACAAUAUAAACAAUUCUUAGUAAAGAGUGAAUAAAACGAAGAUAAUUUACUACCAGAGUUAUUAUAUUUAAAAUAGCCAAAUCUACUAUACAAUUGUUAGACUUCCUUAAUUUUUAAUUGCAUAUGUUUCUUUAUUCUUAAUCAUCAUCUGAGAUUACAUAGAUAAGAUCAAAUGACAUCUUAUUGAUUUACGGAUUAUACACUUUGUUAGAGCUUCACAAUUGAUUAAUCAACUCAUUCACAGUGUCUCAGAGCAAUCAUAUUACACUUAAUUACCAUACGAUAUAAUUGAAACUAAUUUUACAUAUAAGUACUUCCAUCCAUGCUCCCAUAUAUUUUUGUAAAUGGUUCUAUUGUAAUAUUGUAAAUCUUUUAUAUCGUUUGUAAACCGUAUAUGCAUAAAUUUAGGCCUGAGGGAAAAGUUAUUCAUGGCAGAGUCACAAGAUUUAGAUGCAGAUGUGGCGUAGCCACCGAAUUUAGAUUUGUGGACAUGAUGGAGUCCCACCAGUUUCAAAUUAAAUGUGGCAGAACUACCAGAUUCAAAUACAGAUGUGGCGUAGCCACCAGAUUUAGAUUUACAGAUAUAGCAAAGCCACCAAAUUCAAAUUCAGAUGUGGCAGAGCCUGGUCUAGAUGCAAAUAUGAUAAAGCCACAUAUUUUAUUGUCAGAAAUGGUAAAACCACUAAAAUUAGAAUAAGAUAUUUUCCCCUCAUGAAUUAUGCUAGAUGAGGUGACCUAGUUAUUCUUAUAAACAUAGAUGUGACAAUAUAUAUAAUCCAACAAUUUUAUUUCUUUAGCCAUAGCACCCAUUUUAAUCCAACUUUGGGAAUUCAGAAAAUAAAUUACACAAAUUCCAUCAUUUAGUUCCACUUCACAACAACUCUUCUAACUCAAUUCCUUUGGAGUUAAUUGGAAAGCACAAGUCACCCAAGUGUUAGCACGUCAACAUUAAAUUCAGAUAAAAAUUAAAGGCUUCUAUUGUAUUCAUAACACUUUCACAACUUUAAAUACAAUUCAAUUAAUGAAAAGGGGCAGCUUUUACAUAUAAAUUUACCCAUUUAUCUUGGAUGCUCCAAUUGACUCCAAUUUAAUUAACAUGCUUCUCAACAUGCAAAAUAUCUUUGUACAAAUAUUUUCAAGUCAAUCCAAAAACAUAAGACACCAAAAAUAUAUAUUUUUUAAGGCUGACCUACCUCCCUGAACAGGUUAUUAAUUUGGCAUCAGGAAUAUAGAAAUUUAUAGGUAAACUUCUGGGCACCUGAUCUUUCCCAAGUUUUUAACACAUGUUCUAGACAUCAAGAGAUCUUUACAUGAUGAGAUAUCAAGAGAUCUUUCAAACCUUUCGUUUUCUAAAUUUUCCAGAAUUUCAAACAGCUUAUAGAAAAAAAAAAUCAUAUCUCACAAAUCACAAGUCUAAAAUUCAUCAAAGUUUAACACAAUGCUCUCAACAUCUUGGAGAUCAUCUCCCCCUAAAAAUCAUAAAAUUCUGGACAGCAUAAGUAUUUAGUUACCUUAAAUACAGUAGCUUACAACACAGGAAUCCUUAUUCUGGUGGCAUGUAUUUUAAAAUUUAUUGCUCUUAAUCUAGCCAUUAAAAAAUUCUCAAAUUUUAACCAUAUUUUAUACAUCCAAAUGCUAAAUAUAUCUAAAAAUCAACGGUGGAACAUGUCAUCAACUCAUAACAACUCAAGGCAAAUAAUGAAACCUAUUUGCAAUAGAACAAAAUACCUUUACUUACAGUUACAUUUUAUCACCAUGUUUCAUUAUCAGGGCUUUUCCAAGCACCCAUGUUUCAUACACAUAUAGCAUAUAAGACAUCAUUUUAAGUUUCCUUUGCUAGAAGGAAAAAAAAUAUGGAGUUGAUAAAUUAAGGAAUCAAGGUUGGAUUACACUAGCUUGAGAGAGAAAAAUUCAAGAACUUGUCAAUUUGACAAUUCAUCUUACUAGCUCUAAUUAAAUUUCCAAACUUUAUACACCCAUUCAACCAUUGAAUGAAGAUACAAUAAGGAGAAAAUUUAUAAAUUAAGUGAAAUAAAAGGAAUUUCACUCACCUUAGGCUUAAAUUGCUUCCAAGAUCCUUAGAAAGCCAAGAACCCCAAGUUCACUUCACUUAACUCAUCCCCACCAUGCAACCGAAGUUCUUUCCUCCCACUCACUU